GACGAACGCUGGCGGCGUGCCUAAUACAUGCAAGUGGGACGCAAGGGAACACACUGUGCUUGCACACCGUGUUUUCUUGAGUCGCGAACGGGUGAGUAACGCGUAGGUAACCUGCCUAUUAGCGGGGGAUAACUAUUGGAAACGAUAGCUAAUACCGCAUAAUAUUAAUUAUUGCAUGAUAAUUAAUUGAAAGAUGCAAGCGCAUCACUAGUAGAUGGACCUGCGUUGUAUUAGCUAGUUGGUAAGGUAAGAGCUUACCAAGGUGACGAUACAUAGCCGACCUGAGAGGGUGAUCGGCCACACUGGGACUGAGACACGGCCCAGACUCCUACGGGAGGCAGCAGUAGGGAAUCUUCGGCAAUGGACGAAAGUCUGACCGAGCAACGCCGCGUGAGUGAAGAAGGUUUUCGGAUCGUAAAGCUCUGUUGUAAGUCAAGAACGUGUGUGAGAGUGGAAAGUUCACUCAG
This 467-nucleotide ribosomal RNA is filed under the name Streptococcus mutans. Its description in RNAcentral is "bacterial SSU rRNA". It matches the Rfam family "Bacterial small subunit ribosomal RNA", at positions 28 to 471 of the family's 1533-position model. Lineage: Bacteria; Bacillati; Bacillota; Bacilli; Lactobacillales; Streptococcaceae. The record is from RNAcentral.